RNAcentral lists this ribosomal RNA (271 nucleotides) under uncultured archaeon. RNAcentral describes it as "partial 16S ribosomal RNA". It matches the Rfam family "Archaeal small subunit ribosomal RNA", at positions 728 to 998 of the family's 1478-position model. The record is from RNAcentral.
AUUAGAUACCCGCGUAGUCCUAGCCGUAAACGAUACUCGCUAGGUGUCGGCCACGGUGCGACCGUUGUCGGUGCCGUAGGGAAGCCGUGAAGCGAGCCACCUGGGAAGUACGGCCGCAAGGCUGAAACUUAAAGGAAUUGGCGGGGGAGCACCACAACGGGUGGAGCUUGCGGUUUAAUUGGAUUCAACGCCGGAAAUCUUACCGGGACCGACAGCAAUAUGAAGGCCAGGCUGAAGACUUUGCCGGAUUAGCUGAGAGGUGGUGCAUGGC